Mus spicilegus (steppe mouse) is the source of this 2046-nucleotide long non-coding RNA. Lineage: Eukaryota; Metazoa; Chordata; Mammalia; Rodentia; Muridae. The record is from Ensembl.
CAAGCAUGUAGAAGGUGAUCAGGUCAUGAGGGUGAAGCCUCAAUCAACAAGAUUAGUGAUGUCAGAAGAAGCCAGAAUGGAUGCCCUUACCCAAACCAAACUAUGCCUGCACCCUGACCCCAAACCUGUAGCUUGCAGAACUGUGAGGAAUGAAGGGUUGUUGUUUUAGCUACCCAGUGGACAGUGACUCAGAUGGGAGGGGAACAGAGACGGAAGACAGAGACAGGGAGAAGAAAGGUGGUUUUAUGUUUGUUCGCUGGGCUGGUGAUUGAGCCCACAGCCUCCCACAUCCUAAACAAAUGUUCGUUCACUGAGCUAAAUCCCCAGCAUGAUUUGUGUCAGUGAGAAGAGGCUCCAUCUCUGCAGGUCAACAGAAGUCUUCUGUUAUUAUGGGCCAAGACUUAGUUACGGGAAGAGGCUGUGGGAGAGGAGGGUGCGGAGAGGAAAACAGAAAGGUUUGGGGGAAGUUGAAAAGGUUUGUCCAACUUGAGCGUAUGCAUAGGACAGUGCAGGAGGUUGAUGAUGAAGAUCCCUGUGGAGCUACGGCCUAAUUGUAAAACUCACACUGGCCUCAAACAUGCAAUCCUCCGGCCUCAGCUUCCUGGGUGCUGGGGAUAAAACCCAGUAAGGCAAGCACUCCAGCCACAUUCCCAGCAUCCUAUGUAUGUGUGGUCUUAAUCUUUCACUCAACUAAAUCGUAGCUAAAUCAAGUUUCAAAUGGCUUUCGGAUUCUAAGACACCAUGUAGAACCUUUCAGAAAUGAAAAUUCACGGUGCUGGAGAGGCGGUUUAGUGGUUAGGAGCACAUGGUGCUCUGGCAGCAAAUCUGAGACUUAUCUCCUUUUGGAAAGGUUUGAGCGUGUCUUGGCAUCAGUGGCCGAGAGUAAGCUUCAACUGAAGAAGAAAGCCCCAGCAACUGAGCAGAGUCGUGGCCGUGGCCGGGGGAAGCCCCUAUUGAGGAUGCUCGGGCUGCAGAGGCGUCCACAGGAGACCGCAAUCAUUGGCGCAAGCCCUGGAAACUCAUCAACAAUGAGAACAGGAACCUGAGCUGAAGGAUUUGUGACAACGUGGGCAGAACAGAACAGUGAGAAUUUGGGUGGACAGAUUUCAUAAGAAACUAUUAAGCAAGAGGUGUCUGACUAAGCUGGCAACCCAGCCCCAGAAACAGAACAGACCUGGCGACCGUCCUAGGAGGCAGGCUGGAGGCAGGGAGUCAGCUGGAUCCAAAUCGGGAACAGAGUGGGGGAGGGGCGGCGAGCAGAGCCCGGAAGACCCCAAGGUCCACGGAACAUUUUGUCGUCAAGUCUUGGAGUUAAGUGGCCUAGUUCGUUACACUUACUUCUGACUGGAGGCUAGGAACAGCUUUGCUGAUGGUUGCAAGGGAGCAAGAAGAAAAUAAUUGACCAAUAAUUCACCUAAGUGAGCCAAGCAGGCACUAAAAGGCAAAAUGCCAUUCAGCCGCUCAACAUCCAGUGUGCUGCGGGGAACGACACAAGCUGAAAGUUUUCACUGAUGCCCCAGGAAAACACGGAGCCCCUGGCUCGCUCUAUUGAAAUCCUGGUUAAUGCUUUUGUGAGCAAGAAGACUGCGGGAAGCAGCCUGCAAACAGCUAUCAUGGGAAGCAGAGAUGCUCGCAGGGAGUAGGAACAGGUGGAGACUUGGGAGUUGGGGCUACCAGGUACAGAUGAAGAACCAUGGUGGAUUCGAACUUUCCCUUGUUCAUGCCUAGCUCUUCCCAGGUCUUUUCUAAGGUUCCUUUUCCUGUCAAUUCACACCUAGUUCAGGGCAAACAGUUAAGGGUUGAGGAGGGGGGGUGGAAUGCUCACUCUUUAUAGGCUUGGGGGAGCAACCUGCUCUGUGCGAUAAUCAUUUGUCUAGGGCAGAUAUUUGCAAACCUCUGCUGAGCGUCGGGAUCUGAAAUAGAAGACACCUGCAGUAGCUGCCGCUUCUCCACACGCCUUACACACCACAGAACGUCAUUGGCGCUCUGCACCUGAGUUUCAAUUAAUGGGCUGAAUGGAUGACCUUUGACCUUUGGAAUUUUAUU